GGAGAGGUGGCCGAGCCAGGUUGAAGGCGCUUCCCUGCUAAGGAAGUGAGGGGUACUGCCCCUCCGUGGGUUCAAAUCCCACCCUCUCCG
RNAcentral lists this transfer RNA (90 nucleotides) under Actinomycetota bacterium. Its description in RNAcentral is "Actinobacteria bacterium tRNA-Ser". It matches the Rfam family "tRNA". From Rfam's summary of the family: Transfer RNA (tRNA) molecules are approximately 80 nucleotides in length. Their secondary structure includes four short double-helical elements and three loops (D, anti-codon, and T loops). Further hydrogen bonds mediate the characteristic L-shaped molecular structure. tRNAs have two regions of fundamental functional importance: the anti-codon, which is responsible for specific mRNA codon recognition, and the 3' end, to which the tRNAs corresponding amino acid is attached (by aminoacyl-tRNA synthetases). tRNAs cope with the degeneracy of the genetic code in two manners: having more than one tRNA (with a specific anti-codon) for a particular amino acid; and 'wobble' base-pairing, i.e. permitting non-standard base-pairing at the 3rd anti-codon position. The record is from RNAcentral. Lineage: Bacteria; Bacillati; Actinomycetota.